GACGAACGCUGGCGGCGUGCUUAACACAUGCAAGUCGAGCGGUAAGGCCCUUUCGGGGGUACGACGAGCGGCGAACGGGUGAGUAACACGUGGGUGACCUGCCCUCAGCUCUGGGAUAAGCCUGGGAAACCGGGUCUAAUACUGGAUAUGACUCCAUGACGCAUGUUGUGGGGUGGAAAGCCUUGUGCGGCGUGGGGAGUGGGCCCGCGGCCUAUCAGCUUGUUGGUGGGGUGAUGGCCUACCAAGGCGACGACGGGUAGCCGGCCUGAGAGGGCGACCGGCCACACUGGGACUGAGACACGGCCCAGACUCCUACGGGAGGCAGCAGUGGGGAAUCUUGCGCAAUGGGCGAAAGCCUGACGCAGCGACGCCGCGUGAGGGAUGACGGCCU
Molecule: ribosomal RNA, 391 nt
Filed under: uncultured bacterium
Lineage: Bacteria
Description: bacterial SSU rRNA
Rfam family: Bacterial small subunit ribosomal RNA
Source: RNAcentral